Small nuclear RNA from Lepus europaeus (European hare), 104 nucleotides. Lineage: Eukaryota; Metazoa; Chordata; Mammalia; Lagomorpha; Leporidae. The record is from RefSeq and is a predicted model, not a curated record.
GUGCUUACUUCUGCAGCACAUAUACUAAAAUUGGAAUGACACAGAAAUUAGCACGGCCCCUAUGUAAGGAUGGCAUGCAAAUUCGUGAGGUAUUCCAUAUUUUU